AAACAAAAAAAAACAGAGCUUCUGACACUCUGAAAAAGUGAGUCCACUGUGCGAGAUAGCAGCAAAAAGACGACAGGGGAAAAGCUUUUUUCCGCUUUCUUCCGAGGUUUUAACACCGCUCGGCCAUGCUGCCAGACGUCCGCGCCAAAAGUGUCGUCGUGCGUCCUUGUGCGACCCAAGUUCUCCUGCAGAUCGCUUCUUCUUCUGCGCACUCCUCGCACGCAAAAAAGUGGAAGAAUACAAGGAGGACGGGAUGCACAGUACACACGCCCAGGCUCAUCCAAAAUUGCUGUGUUGCGCUCUUUGAAGUGGAGGUGAGCGGAAUGGCUGUCAAGAGGUCAUCUAUCAGCACUAAUGAAACUGGCAGAGCUUGACACUGUCUCACUGGGAAGCACCACUGGCGCCACAAGCUUACUCAAGGAAAAAUGGAUUCAUUUCAUUAUGUGACAAGAUCUCCAUUAUGAUAUCACUGCAGAGGAAGUCGGACAUCCGGGCAUUUAAUGACGUCACCAGCCACAUCAAAGCGUCGCCAUAUUGACAAUGGGGCAAAAGACGAGUCACAAGCAGUUGCUCUGUCGUGCAUUGUAAUACAAACGCGUUUAACUUUAAUUUUAUUUGCGGUCUUUUUUCCGUCGGAAUGACUAAAAGUUGCUGUGUUGCGGGUUGUCACACAAGGAAGAGUUCGGAGCCGCAAUUGAAGUUCUUCAUUCUUCCACGUGAGAAGAAAAGGAGAAACAAAUGGCUGAGAGCAAUUAAUCGGGGAACAGUAAAAGAAGACGGUUCUGUGGACUAUUUUCGCCUGUGAGAACCUAAAUCCAAGCACAUUUACAUUUGCAGUCGCCGUUUUAUUACUGGUGAGUAAACUUACAUUUUUGCCCCAAUUAGCUGCUAGGAUUCAAUAGACUAGGCAGUGGUUAUUAUUACCGUAACCGGCAACUCGCAAAGCGUUAUUUUUCUUUUGCCGUGAACUGCUCUGAUUAGUCAAUCGGUGUAUUAUUGGCCUGGUGGGAAUUGGUUAUUUUGCCGUGACGUGCUCACGGCUAAAUAACGCUUGGAGGCGAAUUACCGGUUACGGCAGGAAUAAUCACUUCGUAUAUACUACCAAUUUUCUCAGUUCCACACAGUACAUAUUCCACGUAAAUGAUAAUGGUCAACUUACUGGGUGACUUUAUGAGGUAGUUGUAGAUGUUUCUGAACUCCACUGCUGGUCAUUCCUUUGUUUAUCCAGCUAUAAGCUGCGACUUUGUAACGGCAGCUUUGUAAGCCAAUAAACGCUAAUUUCAAAUUGCAUCGCCUCCUCGUGUCUGUCGGCAGUGACUCGUGAUAAUAGUAAGCCACGUUUAAGACGUUUUUAGGAAAAAAGACGUAACGCACACCUGAAAUAUAUUAAUUUCAGACGUUUGUCUAUGGAAUGUUUAGCUGUGCGUUCCCCCUUCACAAAAUGGCGACACGUCGCUAAGCGAGGUGAUGUCAUUGUGACAUCACGCCGACUUCCUCCAUGUUACCACCAGUGUCGGGAAUAACGCCGUUACAUAACGGCGUUAUUUUUUCAGUAACGGGGUAAUCUAACUAUUUUGUCCGCCGUUACAACGCUGUUACCGUUACUGACAGUCAAAAGCGGUGCGUUACUUUCUUUGAAUAAAUUGAAGAAACUACCAGCCAUAGCGAGUGUACUCUGCUCUGUUUAUUUGUCAUCCAAGACUUGGCGUGCGUUCAGGUUCAUGGCAAUGAAAAUAGUAAACACACAUAGCCUACCUUUGCAAGAACAAUGGAGUUGCCGUUUGAUACGGUCAUAAUGUGCAGGUCCUGCACCCAUUCGCAGCAAAACUGUUCGUAGCUUUAUAGCGAUUUGUAAUUUCGGAAUCACUGAUGAGUAUAGUAACAUACACCAAAGAAUAUAUACAGCAGAUUGUCCAUUUCGCGUAAUUGUGGAAGCCCGUCGACAUCUUUACUCCAUUUGUCUUCGGCUUGCUCAUAAGGGUCAACAUUGUUCACAUCCUUAAGUUUGAUUACAUAUCUGUUCUUCGCCUUAGUAACGAGUUUGUCUCUUUAUAUAACUGGCAAGUUAAAGUUUAAAGUCCCGCUAGCCAGACCUGCUUCCAAUAUGGCUUCGUUGUUGUCAAAUCUCACGUGAUCCCCCAUUCUGUGACGUAAACGCUCGAGCCUAAUAGCGCACGUACUUCAGAGCCGGUUGUUUAUAUGUGAAUUGUCUCGCCCUAUGUUUGUAUAUGUGUAUUUGUUGUUAAUAAAGUUUGUUUAAAAAAAAAAAAAACUUCAGAGCCGGUGCUUCCACACACAAACCGGAAAAGCGCGUGUGGCAAACACACACACGAUAAACAGAUGCAGAGGGAUAUAAUGGCAGAGCAUUCAGAGGAAAACUUGUCCUUUACGAGGGGGAGAUAUAAACACUAUUUCAAGUUGGUCGAAAUUAAAGGAAAGAACGUGCAUGUGAAGUGUAAUUCAUGUCCCGGGGCAAAGUUUUUGUCGACAUCUGUGGUAAGCAAUUCAAAUCUGUUUAUUUUUGUUGCACUUCAAGUGUAGGAUAAAUCUGUUGCUGGUGAGGUGCAAUAAAUAUUACAAGGUUCUAUAACACAACUACCUGUCUGUUCUUCUCUAUUCAACUGACUCGAAUACUGCU
Long non-coding RNA from Corythoichthys intestinalis (scribbled pipefish), 2638 nucleotides. RefSeq lists it as uncharacterized. The transcript has 3 exons. The record is from RefSeq and is a predicted model, not a curated record. NCBI's taxonomy places the organism in Eukaryota, Metazoa, Chordata, Actinopteri, Syngnathiformes, Syngnathidae.